GGCCUGUUCGUCUAGGGGUUAGGACACAAGGUUUUCAACCUUGCAACAGGAGUUCGAUUCUCCUACAGGCUACCA
Molecule: transfer RNA, 75 nt
Filed under: delta proteobacterium ML8_D
Lineage: Bacteria; Deltaproteobacteria
Description: tRNA-Glu
Rfam family: tRNA
About the family: Transfer RNA (tRNA) molecules are approximately 80 nucleotides in length. Their secondary structure includes four short double-helical elements and three loops (D, anti-codon, and T loops).
Source: RNAcentral